RNAcentral lists this long non-coding RNA (1471 nucleotides) under Mus musculus (house mouse). RNAcentral describes it as "long non-coding RNA chr8:72135849-72137320". Lineage: Eukaryota; Metazoa; Chordata; Mammalia; Rodentia; Muridae. The record is from RNAcentral.
AGGAGAAUUUGGACGCUGGCCUGCAGGACACCCACCACCACCACCAUCACCCUGUGUCCCCCUAGCCCCAGGUAAUAUCCACUAGGGGGCCUGCCCGACGCCGGAGCGCCCACUGUAUGCGCCUUCCCUGAGAGUUCAGGGACCGGGGUGCAUGAAUAGUUCGGAAAGAGGAAAGGCCUCCGCGCCUCCUCUUCAUCCCUGGGUCAAGCCCGGGGCCAGAGAUGGGUCUGGGUUCUAAGCCCAGCUCUGGCACCCACAAAGCGUUCGAUUCGUGUCUCCCAAAAGUCUGCUACAGGUGGGUAGAAAGAAAAGACUAGGGAGAGGCAUUCCAGACGUUUCCGGGGCAAGGAGAGCCCCUUGCCUGAGUAGUAGGGCGGUGUUUGCUAGCGAAGGAGACUCACAGACAAGGGAAGAAGUGUUGUGUGAUUGCCCAGGUCUCCUGAAGCCGUAGUGUGGGAACUCAGGGCGGGGACCCUAGAAACUGAAAGGCUAGGUGGAGUUGGCAGUGCAGGUACCGCCUGGACUCCUCCCAAGACUGCCUGGGCGACAGCCUGGCCUGGGUAGAAGCCUUGAAUCCCUCAAGGACCGCUCGGGCUGGAGAAAGCCUCAGAACCGGGCGGAAGCUCUGCACAGUAGCUGUUACGGCUUCUCAUACGCCCGUCCCACCCUAGACAUCUCCAAAAUGGCCUCGAGACUCCAGCCAAGCCAGGAAUUUGGCGGCCCAAGGGUGGAGUGCGGGGGAUGCCUUUUGGAAAACUCUGAGCUGCUUUAAAAGUUCAUGUGGGAAAGCAUGCUUCUUUUGGUUGUAGAAAGACAUCUCAAGUUGAUUCCGGGCCAGAAACACCCAGACUAGAAAUGGGGUUGGGGUGUGUGUAGCUGAUUUCUGGGCUUGUGUCCCAACAGCUGGUUUCAUUUAGAUUUUUGUGUGAUUAACCGACGUCUUCCUGUUGCUUGGCCACAAGUAUCUAGCAAGCCUCUUUUACCUUAUAAGGGAAACCCUUUGUAGCCGGUGGAAGGCUUUGAUUGCAGGAAGGGGCGGAGCUCAAGAUGACUUAGGAUGUGUGUGUGUGUGUGUGUGUGUGUGUGUGUGAAUGAAUGCAUGGAUGUGAACUAGAGCUCUUUCUGUUUUAAACAGUUGAAAAUAUGCCAAGAUCAAAGUGUGCCUCUUCAGUCUAAGUUCUUUUCCUUUUCUUUGAGACAACUCAUGAAUGUGGAAACUCAAUGUGACUGUGAAAGUGAUUACUAUGUUGGGUGUGGCCUUGAGCCCCCUGCAGCCCAGGCUACUUAGAGGCUGUGGGGUUGUCAUUGAAUGGUGGGAUACUUGCUUAGUAUGCACAAAGUCCUGGGUCCCUUCUGCAGGACUGGGUGAACUGGAUGAAGUAGAGCCUGCACUUGAGAGAUUAAGGCAGGGCAGUCAGAAAUUAGGGCCAGACUAUGUAGUUAGAGGCCAACUUGGACUUCGUGAAACCAU